UGGCGCUUAGUAGAAUGUC
Molecule: microRNA, 19 nt
Filed under: Schistosoma mansoni
Lineage: Eukaryota; Metazoa; Platyhelminthes; Trematoda; Strigeidida; Schistosomatidae
Description: sma-miR-8437-5p
Source: miRBase by way of RNAcentral